Molecule: unclassified non-coding RNA, 274 nt
Filed under: uncultured Bacteroidota bacterium
Lineage: Bacteria; Pseudomonadati; Bacteroidota
Description: uncultured Bacteroidetes bacterium contains 16S-23S intergenic spacer region
Source: RNAcentral
UCCGGUUUAUCACCGGCAGUUCCCCAUGAGUCCCCGGCAUUACCCAGGCUAAAUCGCCGGUCUCCCGGCCGGUCGCCGGCGAUUUAGCCUGGGUAAGGUUCUUCGCGUUGCAUCGAAUUAAGCCACAUGCUCCACCGCUUGUGCGGGCCCCCGUCAAUUCCUUUGAGUUUCAUCCUUGCGGACGUACUCCCCAGGUGGUGUGCUUACUGCGUUAGCUGCGACACCGACCCCGAAGGGCCAACAUCUAGCACACAUCGUUUACAGCGUGGACUAC